RNAcentral lists this ribosomal RNA (504 nucleotides) under uncultured bacterium. Its description in RNAcentral is "partial 16S ribosomal RNA". It matches the Rfam family "Bacterial small subunit ribosomal RNA", at positions 28 to 523 of the family's 1533-position model. The record is from RNAcentral.
GAUGAACGCUAGCUACAGGCUUAACACAUGCAAGUCGAGGGGCAGCAUGAACUUAGCUUGCUAAGUUUGAUGGCGACCGGCGCACGGGUGAGUAACGCGUAUCCAACCUGCCCUUGUCCACCGGAUAACCCGUCGAAAGGCGGACUAACACGGUAUGCAGUCCACAGCAGGCAUCUAACGUGGACGAAAUGUAAAGGAGAAGGAUGGGGAUGCGUCUGAUUAGCUUGUUGGCGGGGUAACGGCCCACCAAGGCGACGAUCAGUAGGGGUUCUGAGAGGAAGGUCCCCCACAUUGGAAAUGAGACACGGUACAAACACCUACGGGAGGCAGCAGUGAGGAAUAUUGGGCAAUGGACGGAAGGCUGAACCAGCCAAGUAGCGUGCAGGAUGACGGCCCUAUGGGUUGUAAACUGCUUUUAUAUGGGGAUAAAGUGAGCCACGUGUGGCUUAUUGCAGGUACCAUAUGAAUAAGGACCGGCUAAUUCCGUGCCAGCAGCCGCGGUAA